GAUGAAGAACGCAGCGAAAUGCGAUAAGUAAUGUGAAUUGCAGAAUUCAGUGAAUCAUCGAAUCUUUGAACGCACAUUGCGCCCCCUGGUAUUCCGGGGGGCAUGCCUGUCCGAGCGUCAUUACAACCCUCAAGCUCAGCUUGGUGUUGGGCCCCGCCGCCCCGGCGGGCCCUAAAGUCAGUGGCGGUGCCGUCCGGCUCCGAGCGUAGUAAUUCUUCUCGCUCUGGAGACCCGGUUGUGUGCUUGCCAACAACCCCCAAUUUUUUAAGGUUGACCUCGGAUCAGGUAGGGAUACCCGCUGAACUUAAGCAUAUCAAUAAGCGGAGGA
RNAcentral lists this unclassified non-coding RNA (328 nucleotides) under soil metagenome. RNAcentral's name for it is "partial contains 5.8S ribosomal RNA, internal transcribed spacer 2, and large subunit ribosomal RNA". The stretch from base 1 to 120 matches the Rfam family "5.8S ribosomal RNA", at positions 35 to 154 of the family's 154-position model. The record is from RNAcentral.